This 28-nucleotide non-coding RNA is filed under the name Bombyx mori (domestic silkworm). Lineage: Eukaryota; Metazoa; Arthropoda; Insecta; Lepidoptera; Bombycidae. The record is from RNAcentral.
UCAGAUUUCAUUAUAAUAGCUUGAGUGU